UUGUAAAGGGAGGAGAAAGACAGCAGCAAAGUCGAGGCGCCUCAGCAUACUCGGUCACAGGGUGGGUGCUUACAUUAAUUACAUACCUUAUUAUUUUGAUCUGAGGCCUCGAGGCUGAUAAGAGGAUCAUCUGGGAGGAAAUCGAUUGGAUUCAUUUGGAUUUGGGAUAAAUUACAUCAGCAUACAUUAGAUGGAGAGUGCGGGGGAAAUGGUGCCGCUGCCCGUGUUGAUCGAGUCCAAUUACAGAGCUUGCACUAUUCCAUACCGAUUCCCUUCCGACAAUCCCAAGAAGCCCACCCCUACUGAGCUCUCUUGGAUCGAUCUCUUCGCCCGCUCCAUCCCCUCUUUCCGCAAACGCGCUGAGGCUGACGAUACAGUUCCCGAUGCUUCCGCCAAGGCUGAAAAGUUUGCCCAGAGGUACACAGAGAUACUGGAGAAUUUGAAGAAAGACCCUGAGACUCACGGCGGCCCACCUGAUUGCAUUCUACUCUGCCAGCUUCGUGAGCAAGUGCUUCGAGAAGUAGGAUUCAGAGACAUAUUUAAGAAGGUCAAGGAUGAAGAGAAUGCCAAGGCAAUAUCAUUAUUUCAGGAUGUUGUGCAUCUUAAUGAUGCUAUCCAGGAUGAAUCCGAGCGUUUUGAGAAUUUGAUCAGAGGAAUCUUUGCUGGGAACAUAUUUGAUCUUGGCUCAGCUCAGCUUGCAGAGUUAUUUGCCAAGGAUGGUAUGUCCUUUCAAGCAAGUUGUCAAAAUCUUGUUUCUCGGCCAUGGGUGAUUGAUGAUUUGGACAUUUUCAUUUCAAAAUGGGGUCGAAGAUCAUGGAAAAAGGUCAUAAUCUUUGUAGAUAACUCUGGUGCUGAUGUCAUAUUGGGUAUAUUGCCAUUUGCAAGGGAGUUACUCCAGCAAGGCAUGCAGGUUGUAUUGGCUGCAAAUGACUUGCCUUCUAUCAAUGAUGUAACAUACCCUGAGUUGAUAGAAAUUAUAGCCAAGUUAAAGGAUGAGAAUGGGAAGCUUAUGGGAGUUGAAACCUCAAAUCUUUUUAUUGCAAAUUCUGGAAAUGAUUUACCUGUCAUUGAUCUUACAAGAGUGUCACAAGAACUUGCCUAUAUAGCAAGUGAUGCUGACCUUGUAGUUUUGGAAGGAAUGUUGACGUUUGAAAUUUGGGCCAGGGCCGGGGAAUAGAGACCAACCUUUAUGCUCAGUUCAAGUGUGAUGCCAUGAAAAUUGCAAUGGUGAAGCACCCUGAGGUGGCUCAGUUUCUUGGGGGACGACUAUAUGAUUGUGUCAUAAAGUUCAAUGAGUUUGUGCACUAACGAAUGGGCUGGUAUUGGCAUUCUAUUGUAGUUAAUUUGAGUUGUAAGGCCGGCAUUCUAUUCUCUCUCUCUCUCUCUCUCUCUCUCUGAAAUCUUUUCAGUCUUCUAUCCUUGGAUUUUUUGGUUAGUGUACAAGUUCUAGAUGGCGCCAUCCUAUUUAUGUUAUAUUCCUUCCAUUAACCACUGGGAUAACUUCAGAAACUCUGCUUGCUUUAUUUGGAAUUUGGCAGUUUAUGCCGGCUCUUAAUCUUUAGAUGGCUAAAAUUCCAAUUAUAGUAAUAAGUGCUGAAGAUAUCACCAAGGAAUGAGCUGUAUACACAUUCAAAAGUGGCGGAAGCAUUGUGAAUCAUUUA
Molecule: RNA transcript, 1661 nt
Organism: Andrographis paniculata
Lineage: Eukaryota; Viridiplantae; Streptophyta; Magnoliopsida; Lamiales; Acanthaceae
Gene name: damage-control phosphatase At2g17340-like
Exons: 12
Source: RefSeq, a predicted model, not a curated record